RNAcentral lists this ribosomal RNA (722 nucleotides) under uncultured bacterium. RNAcentral describes it as "bacterial SSU rRNA". It matches the Rfam family "Bacterial small subunit ribosomal RNA", at positions 1 to 699 of the family's 1533-position model. The record is from RNAcentral.
CCCUUAGAGUUUGAUCCUGGCUCAGAACGAACGCUGGCGGCGUGGAUAAGACAUGCAAGUCGAGCGCGAAUUCUGGUGUAGCAAUACAUCAGAGUUUGAGCGGCGCAAGGGUGCGUAACACGUGGGUAAUUUGCCGUGAAGUUGGGGAUAACUCGCUGAAAGGCGAGCUGAUACCGAAUGUGGUUACUGGAUGGCAUCAUCUGGAAACUAAAGCUGGGGAUCGUAAGACCUGGCGCUUCAUGAUAAGCCCGCGGCCUAUCAGCUAGUUGGUGCGGUAACGGCGCACCAAGGCUAAGACGGGUAGCUGGUCUGAGAAGACGACCAGCCACACUGGAACUGAGACACGGUCCAGACACCUACGGGUGGCAGCAGUCGAGAAUUUUUCUCAAUGGGCGCAAGCCUGAAGGAGCGACGCCGCGUGUGGGAUGAAGGGUUUCGAUCCGUAAACCACUGUCAUUUGUGAACAAUGGUUAUCCAUGAAUAGUGGAUGACUUGAUAGUAAUGAAAGAGGAAGGGACGGCUAACUCUGUGCCAGCAGCCGCGGUAAUACAGAGGUCCCGAGCGUUGUUCGGAUUCACUGGGCGUAAAGGGUGCGUAGGUGGCAUGGUAAGUUUGAUGUGAAAGCUCAGGCUCAACCCUGAAAUGGCAUUGAAUACUACUGUGCUGGAGGUUUGGAGGGGGGACUGGAAUUCUUGGUGUAGCAGUGAAAUGCGUAGAUAUCA